Molecule: transfer RNA, 72 nt
Filed under: Danionella translucida
Lineage: Eukaryota; Metazoa; Chordata; Actinopteri; Cypriniformes; Danionidae
Also listed under: 1 other name
Rfam family: tRNA
About the family: Transfer RNA (tRNA) molecules are approximately 80 nucleotides in length. Their secondary structure includes four short double-helical elements and three loops (D, anti-codon, and T loops).
Source: Rfam by way of RNAcentral
GGUUCUAUGGUGUAAUGGUUAGCAUUUUGGACUCUGAAUCCAGCGAUCCGAGUUCAAAUCUCGGUAGGACCU